AUGGAUCCUUCUGUUGUGUCUCGAUUGGAGAAUGUUGCGAAUCGAACGGAGAAUAUAUUGCUGAAAUAUGACUCGAACAAAAAAGAAACUCCGGUCGACGCGACGCCUCAAAUCAUUAAUCUUUAUGACGAUGCGAUCUGUGAGAAUCUCGUCUCGUUUUAUGAUUUAUCUGCAAAAAUUGGAGGAGAUUUGAAUCGCCUUGGAUGCAUGACUAGGAGUCUAUUUUUCACGCAUCGAUAUUUUUUGUGGAUUGCGUGUGGGCGCAAAAAGGCGGACAACGACGAGUUCGCGACUCUUGUGAACGAUUUGUCGAAGGAAAUUGUUGCAUUUUCCGAUUUCAAGGAGAAAAAUCGAAAAUCCGAAUUCUAUAAUCAUAUCUGCGGACUUGAAGCUGCGGUUGGAGGUUUCGGUUGGGUUGCUGAACCAAAAACUCCUGCUCCAUUCAUCAAAGAUGCUAUCGAUACAUCAGUCUUCUACCUAAAUCGUAUUCUUAUGGAGCACAAAGGAAAAAAUGAUUUCCAUUCGGAAUGGGCUAAAUCUAUCAAAGAACUCAUGCUGAGUCUUCAUGAAUAUGUGCGACAACAUCACACGACUGGUCUUGUCUGGAAUUCGGAUCCCGGUGCGACUCCGAUGUGUAACAGGAAAAGUGGAGGAGCUCCAACGCCGCCGCCACCACCACCUCCACCAAUUUCAUUGAUUGCGCCUUCCAAGCCUUCUGGUGUCGGUGCUCUACUGGAAUCUCUCAAUACGGGAUUAUCGGCUACUAGUCGUUUGAAGAAAGUCACCCCUGAAAUGCAAACUCACAAAAAUCCGGUACUUCGUGAGGUAAAUGGACAGAUGAAUCGAAAAACUGAAGAAAGAAAGGGAUGGAAAGAUUUGGAAAGUUGAUCAUCAAGUUGGUAAUAAGAAUGCCGUCGUUGAAGUUACGGAUAAGAAGGAAUCGAUUUAUAUUUACAAGUGUAACGAUUCUAUUAUCAAGAUCAAAGGAAAGGCCAACGCAAUUACAUUGGACGGAUGCCGUAAAACUUCAGUCGUAUUUGAUGGUCUUGUUGCUCAAUGUGAAAUCAUCAAUUGCCAAUCAAUUCAAAUUCAAACUCUCGGAGAACUUCCAACUGUUUCGAUUCAAAAAACCGAUGGAUGUCAUAUCUAUCUGUCACGUGAUGCUUUGAAUGCUCAAAUUGUUGCAUCCAAAUCCAGUGAGAUGAACAUCUCCGCGAUGUUGGAAGAUGGAGACGAUGAGUACACGGAAAUGGCAUUGCCAGAGCAGUUUAUGACGAAGAUUGUUGGAAAGAAGCUUGUCACUGUCGCAUCUGAAAUUGUAUAA
Molecule: unclassified non-coding RNA, 1324 nt
Filed under: Caenorhabditis elegans
Lineage: Eukaryota; Metazoa; Nematoda; Chromadorea; Rhabditida; Rhabditidae
Description: Non-coding transcript of protein-coding gene cas-2
Source: RNAcentral